GCGCGACAUGUCCAACGAAUGAACCGCUCCUUGCCGUAAGGAACCAGACGUCAAAUAAACAAGGAAUAGUACAAGGAAAGCAUUCAAGGGCAUUGGAUGGAAAUUUACGUGAAAUUUCUAGACUUCCCGUGUAACUGCAUUUAACGCCUUAUAUCGAGCCUCUGCAACGUUAGACCAGACGAGGGGAGGCAACGCAAAGCAAGAACUGAUCACGAGACGCAACACAAGAAGACUCAGGAAAUUCUUUCAGUUGUGGUAAGA
Pocillopora damicornis (cauliflower coral) is the source of this 261-nucleotide long non-coding RNA. The record is from RefSeq and is a predicted model, not a curated record. Lineage: Eukaryota; Metazoa; Cnidaria; Anthozoa; Scleractinia; Pocilloporidae.